RNAcentral lists this ribosomal RNA (452 nucleotides) under uncultured bacterium. Its description in RNAcentral is "bacterial SSU rRNA". It matches the Rfam family "Bacterial small subunit ribosomal RNA", at positions 354 to 796 of the family's 1533-position model. The record is from RNAcentral.
GUCGAGAAUCUUCCCCAAUGGGCGAAAGCCUGAGGGAGCGACGCCGCGUGAGGGAUGAAGGCCCUUUGGGUUGUAAACCUCUGUUAGGGGGAAAGAACAGCAGUGGAAGCAACAUGUCCAUUGCCUGACGUUACCCCCAGAGAAAGCUCCGGCCAACUCCGUGCCAGCAGCCGCGGUAAUACGGGGGGAGCAAGCGUUGUCCGGAAUCAUUGGGCGUAAAGGGCGUGUAGGCGGUUUGGCAAGUCGAAUGUGAAAUCCCACGGCUCAACCGUGGAACUGCGUUCGAAACUGCCUUGCUUGAGUGCGGGAGAGGUGUGCGGAAUUCCUGGUGUAGCGGUGGAAUGCGUAGAUAUCAGGAAGAACACCGGUGGCGAAGGCGGCACACUGGCCCAGCACUGACGCUGAGGCGCGAAAGCGUGGGGAGCGAACGGGAUUAGAAACCCGGGUAGUCC